AAAUAGAACUUUGCAGAGAGAGUUAACAGGGCGUGAAACCGUUAAUUGGCAAACGAAUCGGAGCCACGAAGUCGUUUCGUUGUUUAGCCUGGAUCAGGUUCAGCGGGAGUCGAGAGGCUCCCGUGUACUCCUGGGUCUGGCCAAACCUUGUAAGCGUACACUGCAACCAGUUAGACGAUCAGUUGUGGGCACAGUGGUUAAACGAGUUAGUAGUAGCGCGGUUGGACCUCGGUCCUCCUCGUGUUGCUGGGCUUGUUUGAGUGAACUACAACUGAAUACUGACUGGCGAAAUGAAAAUCGCCCGUCGCGGCGUUAGAGACAACGCGGCCAGCCGGACGCCGGUCUACGCGGUCGACUGUUAGGUCUAAGCUUGGCGCUCUUGAAUUCAGACUUGCUCGCUACCAGUGGGGCAACUCCUGGUGCUUGUAUAGCUUCUGUCUAAUCGGGCGUCGACUUGGCUUGGCAUUGUUCGGACGUGCUUCGAUUGGGCUAACGUGCGAGUUGGUUCGCAAUGUGAAUUGGCAGUGAGUAGGUCGGCUUUCCGAACGACCCGUCUUGAAACACGGACCAAGGAGUCUAAUUAGGCAUCGAGUCGAUCGGUCUUGAAUAGGCCAGACAGGUGCUCCUGCAUCGAUCGAAGGCGUAGAGAAAUCGUGUGAUCGUGGGGGCAACAACAGCCACUGCGCGCAACAUGUGCCUGUUCGUAUAGCAAUGUGCAAUAUGCUGAGCGGAGCAGAGAGAUGCCUGAUUGGGACCCGAAAGAUGGUGAUGCUUGGGCAAAUUGAAGCCAGAGGAAACUCUGGUGGAGGAUUGUAGCGAUUCUGACGUGCAAAUCGAUCGUCAGACCUGAGUAUAGGGGCGAAAGACUAAUCGAACCAUC
Molecule: ribosomal RNA, 880 nt
Filed under: Tegolophus sp. FJ21_2
Lineage: Eukaryota; Metazoa; Arthropoda; Arachnida; Trombidiformes; Eriophyidae
Description: partial large subunit ribosomal RNA
Rfam family: Eukaryotic large subunit ribosomal RNA
Source: RNAcentral